GGGGUUGUAGCCCAGCUGGUUAGAGCGCUUGCUUGACAUGCAAGAGGUCAUCGGUUCGAGUCCGUUCAACCCCA
RNAcentral lists this transfer RNA (74 nucleotides) under Lachnospiraceae bacterium. RNAcentral describes it as "tRNA-Val". It matches the Rfam family "tRNA". Rfam says of the family: Transfer RNA (tRNA) molecules are approximately 80 nucleotides in length. Their secondary structure includes four short double-helical elements and three loops (D, anti-codon, and T loops). Lineage: Bacteria; Bacillati; Bacillota; Clostridia; Lachnospirales; Lachnospiraceae. The record is from RNAcentral.